Molecule: ribosomal RNA, 497 nt
Filed under: uncultured bacterium
Lineage: Bacteria
Description: partial 16S ribosomal RNA
Rfam family: Bacterial small subunit ribosomal RNA
Source: RNAcentral
GAUGAACGCUGGCGGCGUGCCUAAUACAUGCAAGUCGAGCGAACAGACGAGGAGCUUGCUCCUCUGACGUUAGCGGCGGACGGGUGAGUAACACGUGGAUAACCUACCUAUAAGACUGGGAUAACUUCGGGAAACCGGAGCUAAUACCGGAUAAUAUAUUGAACCGCAUGGUUCAAUAGUGAAAGACGGUUUUGCUGUCACUUAUAGAUGGAUCCGCGCCGCAUUAGCUAGUUGGUAAGGUAACGGCUUACCAAGGCAACGAUGCGUAGCCGACCUGAGAGGGUGAUCGGCCACACUAGAACUGAGACACGGUCCAAACUCCUACGGGAGGCAGCAGUAGGGAAUCUUCCGCAAUGGGCGAAAGCUUGACGGAGCAACGCCGCGUGAGUGAUGAAGGUCUUCGGAUCGUAAAACUCUGUUAUUAGGGAAGAACAAAUGUGUAAGUAACUAUGCACGUCUUGACGGUACCUAAUCAGAAAGCCACGGCUAACUACGUG